RNAcentral lists this small nucleolar RNA (108 nucleotides) under Sorghum bicolor (sorghum). RNAcentral's name for it is "Plant small nucleolar RNA R71". It matches the Rfam family "Plant small nucleolar RNA R71". From Rfam's summary of the family: R71 is a member of the C/D box family of snoRNAs containing the C (UGAUGA) and D (CUGA) box motifs. Multiple nearly identical copies of this snoRNA have been identified in Arabidopsis, and it is thought to function as a 2'-O-ribose methylation guide for 18S ribosomal RNA. The record is from Rfam by way of RNAcentral. Lineage: Eukaryota; Viridiplantae; Streptophyta; Magnoliopsida; Poales; Poaceae.
AUCCCAUGAUGAGGGCAUUCUGAUAUGUAAUCUUGGAAGCGUUCUUGUGCCUCAGGGACAAAAUCUUCAUACUAUUGCUAGAACAUUGAGAUUUUUGCACAUAAGGCA